This 497-nucleotide ribosomal RNA is filed under the name uncultured bacterium. RNAcentral describes it as "partial 16S ribosomal RNA". It matches the Rfam family "Bacterial small subunit ribosomal RNA", at positions 28 to 507 of the family's 1533-position model. The record is from RNAcentral.
GAUGAACGCUGGCGGCGUGCCUAAUACAUGCAAGUCGAGCGAACGGACGAGAAGCUUGCUUCUCUGAUGUUAGCGGCGGACGGGUGAGUAACACGUGGAUAACCUACCUAUAAGACUGGGAUAACUUCGGGAAACCGGAGCUAAUACCGGAUAAUAUUUUGAACCUCAUGGUUCAAAAGUGAAAGACGGUCUUGCUGUCACUUAUAGAUGGAUCCGCGCUGCAUUAGCUAGUUGGUAAGGUAACGGCUUACCAAGGCAACGAUGCAUAGCCGACCUGAGAGGGUGGUCGGCCACACUGGAACUGGGACACGGUCCAGACUCCUACGGGAGGCAGCAGUAGGGAAUCUUCCGCAAUGGGCGAAAGCCUUACGGAGCAACGCCGCGUGAGUGAUGAAGGUCUUCGGAUCGUAAAACUCUGUUAUUAGGGAAGAACAUAUGUGUAAGUAACUGUGCACAUCUUGACGGUACCUAAUCAGAAAGCAACGGCUAACUACGUG